This 21-nucleotide microRNA is filed under the name Oreochromis niloticus (Nile tilapia). RNAcentral describes it as "oni-miR-10882". The record is from miRBase by way of RNAcentral. Lineage: Eukaryota; Metazoa; Chordata; Actinopteri; Cichliformes; Cichlidae.
ACUCGGCUUCGUCUCCAACGC